AGGAUGGAAAAUGAAAAAUAUUUUUUAGUCAUUUGACACAUUCUUUCUAACUCACAUUCUUUCUAACUCACUUUUUUUUUUUUUUUUUUUUUUUUGUUCCUGAAGGUACUAUUGAAAGGCUCUGUGUAACUGCUGGUAUUGGCUGUUACUGGGAUGAAGCAGGGAAAGGUUACUUCC
RNAcentral lists this long non-coding RNA (177 nucleotides) under Phasianus colchicus (ring-necked pheasant). RNAcentral's name for it is "lncRNA (ENSPCLG00000002571.1)". Lineage: Eukaryota; Metazoa; Chordata; Aves; Galliformes; Phasianidae. The record is from RNAcentral.